RNAcentral lists this ribosomal RNA (465 nucleotides) under uncultured bacterium. Its description in RNAcentral is "bacterial SSU rRNA". It matches the Rfam family "Bacterial small subunit ribosomal RNA", at positions 917 to 1382 of the family's 1533-position model. The record is from RNAcentral.
GGGCCCGCACAAGCGGAGGAACAUGUGGUUUAAUUCGAUGAUACGCGAGGAACCUUACCCGGGCUCGAACGGCAAAUGAACGACUCAGAGAUGAGAAGGUCCUUCGGGACAUUUGUCGAGGUGCUGCAUGGUUGUCGUCAGCUCGUGCCGUGAGGUGUCGGCUUAAGUGCCAUAACGAGCGCAACCCUUGUCGUCAGUUACCAGCGCGUAAAGGCGGGGACUCUGGCGAGACUGCCACCGUAAGGUGAGAGGAGGGGGGGGAUGACGUCAAAUCAGCACGGCCCUUACGUCCGGGGCGACACACGUGUUACAAUGGUCGGUACAGAGGGUAGCUACCUAGUGAUAGGAUGCCAAUCUCAAAAACCGAUCUCAGUUCGGAUCGGAGUCUGCAACUCGACUCCGUGAAGUUGGAUUCGCUAGUAAUCGCGCAUCAGCCAUGGCGCGGUGAAUACGUUCCCGGGCCUU